GACCCGGUGGUGUAUUCGGUUAACACACUCCAGAAGCUCCUAGCCACUUUACAGUGAAUUGCGAUAAUGGACUUCUGGAGAGAAGGAGGUUCGAGGCCUUCCCGGGACA
This is a non-coding RNA of Hypoxylon fuscum, 109 nucleotides long. The record is from the annotation of a GenBank genome assembly. NCBI's taxonomy places the organism in Eukaryota, Fungi, Ascomycota, Sordariomycetes, Xylariales, Hypoxylaceae.